Molecule: transfer RNA, 72 nt
Organism: Camelus ferus (Wild Bactrian camel)
Lineage: Eukaryota; Metazoa; Chordata; Mammalia; Artiodactyla; Camelidae
Rfam family: tRNA
About the family: Transfer RNA (tRNA) molecules are approximately 80 nucleotides in length. Their secondary structure includes four short double-helical elements and three loops (D, anti-codon, and T loops). Further hydrogen bonds mediate the characteristic L-shaped molecular structure. tRNAs have two regions of fundamental functional importance: the anti-codon, which is responsible for specific mRNA codon recognition, and the 3' end, to which the tRNAs corresponding amino acid is attached (by aminoacyl-tRNA synthetases). tRNAs cope with the degeneracy of the genetic code in two manners: having more than one tRNA (with a specific anti-codon) for a particular amino acid; and 'wobble' base-pairing, i.e. permitting non-standard base-pairing at the 3rd anti-codon position.
Source: Rfam
AAGGGUAUAGCUCAGUGAUAGAGUGCGUGCCUUGCAAGCACAGGGUCCUGGGUUCAAUCCCCAGUACCUCCA